RNAcentral lists this ribosomal RNA (252 nucleotides) under uncultured prokaryote. RNAcentral's name for it is "partial 16S rRNA". It matches the Rfam family "Archaeal small subunit ribosomal RNA", at positions 475 to 726 of the family's 1478-position model. The record is from RNAcentral.
ACCGGCAGCUCAAGUGGUGGCCAUUUUUAUUGGGCCUAAAGCGUUCGUAGCCGGUUUGAUAAGUCUCUGGUGAAAUCCCGCAGCUUAACUGUGGGACUUGCUGGAGAUACUAUUAGACUUGAGGUCGGGAGAGGUUAGGGGUACUCCCAGGGGAGGGGUGAAAGCCAAUAAUCCUGGGAGGACCACCUGGGGCGAAGGCGCCUAACUGGAACGAACCUGAGUGUGAGUAACGAAAGCCAGGGACGUGAACCA